Molecule: ribosomal RNA, 1355 nt
Filed under: Metagovea sp. DNA101670
Lineage: Eukaryota; Metazoa; Arthropoda; Arachnida; Opiliones; Neogoveidae
Description: LSU rRNA
Rfam family: Eukaryotic large subunit ribosomal RNA
Source: RNAcentral
AGACCCGAUGACUGGCGCACAUGUUAGACUCCUUGACCCGUCUUGAAACACGGACCAAGGAGUCUAACAUGUGCGCAAGUCAUCGGGUCUUGUUCAGGCCCGUAGGCGAAAUGAAAGUGAAGGGCGACUCGAGUCGUCUGCGUUGGGACCCCGGCCACUCGUGGUCGGUAGCACCAACGGCCCGUCCCGAUCGCUUCGUCGAUGGGGCGGAGCGAGAGCGUACACGUUGGGACCCGAAAGAUGGUGAACUAUGCCUGGGCAGGACGAAGCCAGAGGAAACUCUGGUGGAGGUCCGCAGCGAUUCUGACGUGCAAAUCGAUCGUCAGACCUGGGUAUAGGGGCGAAAGACUAAUCGAACCAUCUAGUAGCUGGUUCCCUCCGAAGUUUCCCUCAGGAUAGCUGGCGCUCGGAGGAAGCAUUCUCAUCCGGUAAAGCGAAUGAUUAGAGGCCUUGGGGCCGAAACGACCUCAACCUAUUCUCAAACUUUAAAUGGGUGAGAAGUCCGGCUUGCUCGACUGAAGCCCGGACGCAAGGAUGCGAGUGCCCAGUGGGCCACUUUUGGUAAGCAGAACUGGCGCUGUGGGAUGAACCAAACGCCGGGUUAAGGCGCCCGAUGCGAGACGCUCAUGAGACCCCCUGCGAGGUGUUGGGUGCUUUCGACAGAGAGUGGGAGUUCCUGGACGGAGGAAUCCGCUAUCGAGUGUGUGACUCCUCAGCUGCCGAACCCACUACCCCUGAACAUGGAUGGUGCUGCAAGGCAGAGCCCAUACCCGGCCGUCGCGGCCGCGAACAUGUUUCUUAAGCUGCGACGAGUAGGAGGGCGCAGGGGUGUGCGUUGAAGGUGCCGGGCGUGAGCCCGUCUGGAGCCGCCCCUGGUGCAGAUCUUGGUGGUAGUAGCAAAUACUCAAGUGAGAACCUUGAGGACUGAGGUGGAGAAGGGUUCCAUGUGAACAGCAGUUGAACAUGGGUCAGUCGGUCCUAAGGGAUAGGAGAAAUCCGUUCCGAAGCGGGACCUUCUUGUGAUUUGGCUGGUCCCGCCGCAGACCGAAAGGGAAUCGGGUUAAUAUUCCCGAACCCGGACACGGAGAUCGACCCCUUACGGGGGUUCAGUGCGGUAACGCAAGCGACCUCGGAGACGUCGACGGGAGUCCCGGAACGAGUUGUCUUUUCUUUGUAAGGGCUCGGCUCCCUGGAAUCGGCUCGCCCGGAGAUAGGGAUGCUGUACCCGUAAAGCACCGCGCCUCUUGCGGUGUCCGGAGCGCCCCCGUCGGCCCUUGAAAAUCCGAGCGAGAGAUUGUGAUUUUCGUGCCGGACCGUACCCAUAUCCGCAGCAGGUCUCCAAGGUGAACAGCCUC